RNAcentral lists this ribosomal RNA (1016 nucleotides) under uncultured bacterium. RNAcentral's name for it is "bacterial SSU rRNA". It matches the Rfam family "Bacterial small subunit ribosomal RNA", at positions 357 to 1376 of the family's 1533-position model. The record is from RNAcentral.
AGGAAUAUUGGUCAAUGGACGAGAGUCUGAACCAGCCAAGUAGCGUGAAGGAUGACUGCCCUAUGGGUUGUAAACUUCUUUUAUAUGGGAAUAAAGUGGUCCACGUGUGGAUUUUUGUAUGUACCAUAUGAAUAAGGAUCGGCUAACUCCGUGCCAGCAGCCGCGGUAAUACGGAGGAUCCGAGCGUUAUCCGGAUUUAUUGGGUUUAAAGGGAGCGUAGGUGGACAGUUAAGUCAGUUGUGAAAGUUUGCGGCUCAACCGUAAAAUUGCAGUUGAUACUGGGUGUCUUGAGUACAGUAGAGGCAGGCGGAAUUCGUGGUGUAGCGGUGAAAUGCUUAGAUAUCACGAAGAACUCCGAUUGCGAAGGCAGCCUGCUGGACUGUAACUGACGCUGAUGCUCGAAAGUGUGGGUAUCAAACAGGAUUAGAUACCCUGGUAGUCCACACAGUAAACGAUGAAUACUCGCUGUUUGCGAUAUACAGUAAGCGGCCAAGCGAAAGCGUUAAGUAUUCCACCUGGGGAGUACGCCGGCAACGGUGAAACUCAAAGGAAUUGACGGGGGCCCGCACAAGCGGAGGAACAUGUGGUUUAAUUCGAUGAUACGCGAGGAACCUUACCCGGGCUUGAAUUGCAACUGAAUGAUGUGGAGACAUGUCAGCCGCAAGGCAGUUGUGAAGGUGCUGCAUGGUUGUCGUCAGCUCGUGCCGUGAGGUGUCGGCUUAAGUGCCAUAACGAGCGCAACCCUUAUCGAUAGUUACCAUCAGGUUAUGCUGGGGACUCUGUCGAGACUGCCGUCGUAAGAUGUGAGGAAGGUGGGGAUGACGUCAAAUCAGCACGGCCCUUACGUCCGGGGCUACACACGUGUUACAAUGGGGGGUACAGAAGGCAGCUACACGGCGACGUGAUGCUAAUCCCGAAAGCCUCUCUCAGUUCGGAUUGGAGUCUGCAACCCGACUCCAUGAAGCUGGAUUCGCUAGUAAUCGCGCAUCAGCCACGGCGCGGUGAAUACGUUCCCG